RNAcentral lists this ribosomal RNA (412 nucleotides) under uncultured bacterium. RNAcentral describes it as "bacterial SSU rRNA". It matches the Rfam family "Bacterial small subunit ribosomal RNA", at positions 96 to 518 of the family's 1533-position model. The record is from RNAcentral.
GGCGGAACGGGUGAGUAACGCGUGGGUAACCCUGCCUCAUACAGGGGGAUAACAGUUAGAAAUGACUGCUAACACCGUCUAUAAUAUAGCGAAACCGCAUGAUUUUUGCUAUCAAAUAUUUAUAGGUAUGAGAUGGGCCCGCGUCUGAUUAGCUAGUUGGUGGGGUAAAAGCCUACCAAGGCGACGAUCAGUAGCCGGCUUGAGAGAGUGACCGGCCACAUUGGGACUGAGUACACGGCCCAAACUCCUACGGGAGGCAGCAGUGGGGAAUAUUGGACAAUGGGGGAAACCCUGAUCCAGCGAACCGCCGCGUGAGUGAAGAAGUAUUUCGGUAUGUAAAGCUCUAUCAGCAAGGGAAGAUAAUGACAGUACCUGACUAAGAAGCCCCGGCUAACUACGUGCCAGCAGCCGC